RNAcentral lists this long non-coding RNA (234 nucleotides) under Homo sapiens (human). RNAcentral's name for it is "HSALNT0365539". Lineage: Eukaryota; Metazoa; Chordata; Mammalia; Primates; Hominidae. The record is from RNAcentral.
AGUACCAGGAUUCUUUGGGCGGUGAGUGCCAGAGGGCCCCAGUCACCCAGAACCCCCACCCCGAGUCAAAGCGCUGAAAUGAGCCCCGCGGCAGGGGCCGUGUUCAUUACCUUUGAAAAUGCUCAGUUCUUCUUCGGUCCAGGGCGGGGCAGAAGGGAGGAUGCAGAGGGAGAAACAGCUGUGGAGGAGUGGGAAGGUUGAGUGGAGGAAGGGAUAUCUGCCUCCAACCACGCU